Long non-coding RNA from Ochotona princeps (American pika), 803 nucleotides. RefSeq lists it as uncharacterized. Lineage: Eukaryota; Metazoa; Chordata; Mammalia; Lagomorpha; Ochotonidae. The transcript has 3 exons. The record is from RefSeq and is a predicted model, not a curated record.
UAUGCAGUGUUCUUGAAAAGACGAAGGCUGUCCCCGUUGUUUUGUUCAGAGUUGAGUGCUUGGUCAGCACUCAACAAAUAAUAAGUCAUAAUGAUGAGUUCUAAAUCCAAUUUGAAACUGUAUGGGGGAAAUUCAAGUGGUCCCAAGUGCCAGUGUUCUACAAAUUAAUUCCAUCUGUAGAGUGACUGCAAUUCCAGAUUUUUAUGUUCAUGAAAUAAUUCAAAUUAUUCUCUUCUAUUUUUAACUCCUGGAAGGGCUGGAGAGAUUUUCACACUGAAGAUUACAUCCAUGGCUUUCACCAAGCUGAAAAACAAGCUUUAAUGUGAAGAUCCAUACAAGACCAAACUCGAUGAGAAAUGUGGAGUGUUGCUAUGGCAAUUCCAUUUGCUGGAACUUUUCUGUGUUGGCUUCACGUUGACAUUGCAUUCUAAAAAGAACCACAUGAAAAGGUGGAUUGGCUGUGAAGACAAAUGUGAAGCCAAGAAGAUGGAAAUUUCUCAUCUUUCCUUUUCCAGGAGACAGAACAUGUAGUCGUAUUAUAAUGCCACCCCAAGCUAUAAUGAAGGAAAGUGCACGGAGUGCGGUGCUCAACUGAACACCUCCGUAUCAGGAACCCUCAGAUCAAAGAUAGAUUCUCAAUGAAACUCUUAACUAUAUCUUGAUAAUAGGAUGCUGGACUCUCUGCUAUUGUCCAUGCCCACGAUGAUGGAAUUAUGACUGUUUAUAAAGAACUAUACUACUGUAUUAACAUAGGAGAAAUCAGUGGUGAUGGGGAAGGAUUCCUGGGGACGGGGAAGGGAAAU